GGGAGCUUAGAUGUGGAAGCUCUUUGGAAACCAAGAAACACUCUGAAAAUGAAAAGGGAAGCAGAAGUUCUCCUUAGCUGAUUUUUCUUCUUGCCUUAUACUGGGUUCUUUAACACCAGAACAAAAAUAAAUAAAUAAAAGAAUCUUCCAGAAAUUCAUGAAGAGACUUCAGGUCAGGAAAGCCUGAACUUUCUCAUCCAACACCCGUUCAAGUCGGAGGAUGCUGAUUAAUUCAUGAUGGAAAGGUAUCAAUUUCACAGCCCAGACCUCUACAUUCUUGAAAUGCUCUUCUCAUGGGAGACAUUAAAUAAGCUUUGAAUUAACUGAGACCUCUGUGGAUUCUAUAACUCAAAGACCCAGGCUGACGGCUGGUGGAAUAGCUACCAUCUCAAACAUGGCGUGAUGCUGCAUCAGAGAGAAAAAUAAGCUCUUGCAUUGACAAUGAAAUGUCUACCCUGUAGUGACUUGUGCUUACUUCCACUCACAAGUGAUUGCCCAGAGCUACUUACCUGGCUCCAAUCUACCACUGGGUCAGACGUUUGCUGAAUUCAGUUCUGAGCUUUUGAACCAAAAGCAGAUCUUCAGAACAAGAAACAAGAUAAUAAAAGAGAAACAUGAAGAAACUGAAGAUGAUUGGAGAAAUAUGAAUCAAGAUGAUUAGACCUAGCAGAGGGCUGGCUGGAUGGCAUUUAUGUUGACAAUGGACUCCUACACAGAGGAUGAUCAUGGUCUAGGACAUAAUAGUCAUUCAAUCAUCAUUUCUUAAAUGAUUUUUUAAAACAAGUGAAUGAAUGACCAAUUAUAUACCUUCCCUGAGCCAAUAAAAUAUAUUAAAAGUA
Molecule: long non-coding RNA, 839 nt
Filed under: Homo sapiens (human)
Lineage: Eukaryota; Metazoa; Chordata; Mammalia; Primates; Hominidae
Description: SATB1 antisense RNA 1
Source: RNAcentral